AAUCAACGCUGGCGGCGUGCCUAACACAUGCAAGUCGAACGCGAAAGGGGCUUCGGCCCUGAGUAGGGUGGCGUCCGGGUGAGUAACGCGUGGGUAAUCUACCCUCGGGUGGGAAUAACCAAUCGAAAGAUUGGCUAAUACCGCAUAAUGCAGCGGCUCGACAUCGAGACAGUUGUUAAAGCAGCAAUGCGCCAGAGGAGGAGCCUGCGUCUGAUUAGCUUGGGUC
RNAcentral lists this ribosomal RNA (226 nucleotides) under uncultured bacterium. RNAcentral describes it as "partial 16S ribosomal RNA". It matches the Rfam family "Bacterial small subunit ribosomal RNA", at positions 32 to 254 of the family's 1533-position model. The record is from RNAcentral.